Molecule: unclassified non-coding RNA, 774 nt
Filed under: uncultured fungus
Lineage: Eukaryota; Fungi
Description: sequence contains 18S rRNA gene, ITS1, 5.8S rRNA gene, ITS2, 28S rRNA gene
Source: RNAcentral
CCCCAGGGUCGUAGCUGCCGCGGAUGGACACACGCGCGAUGUUCGCGUCGUAGCCCCAUGACCCGCCGCGCAACACGCGUUCGGAGCCAGUGGCCGGUCCGCGCGGAUUUGUCUGCGGCAACGCGCCAUAAGGGUCGUGCCAGUCCCAGCACCACUCCCACACAUUACCGGUGAUCUCAUGAAGUCCAUGGCCAUUUGGUGCGAAACUCCCCACCGGUGAAGUGAAGGGAUCCGCCAAACUCCCCACCAGUAAAGUGAAGGGAUCCGCCCCGUCGCCGUAUGCCGGAUGAAAUCCGCGGGUCGGGCUCACGUCGUAGGCCAAUCGCUCAUCGCUUUGGUAGUUCGCCUGGCUGUGAUCGAUGGUAUCUCCCCAGGGAAAGCGUUUCCCCACCAACCCGCCGCGUGCCGCCCUCUCCCACUCCGCCUCCGUGGGCAGUCGGUAGCCGUCCUUGCUCCAGUCGCAGGUUACGUCCUCCGCCCGCCCCGUCCUGUAGACGGCUCCGACGGAACUGUAGCACGGCGCCAGUCCCUCCCGCUCGCUGCGCGCAUUGCACCACUUCACCACGUCCCACCACGAGACCCCCUGCACCGGAUGAUCCGGCGCCUUUCCAUCUCCCGCGUUGUCGAAUCCGUAGCCAUUCGCCAACGCCCACCCAGACGUGGCGUCCCACUCCCCCUUGGUCACCUCCGUCCUCCCCAUGAAGUAGGCGCUGAUUUGGACGGUGUGCACCGGUCGUUCAUCCUCCUCUCCCUCCCCAAGCGCGUUGCCCAUCU